This 744-nucleotide long non-coding RNA is filed under the name Capsicum annuum. RNAcentral's name for it is "long non-coding RNA (CANN_LNC014664)". The record is from RNAcentral. Lineage: Eukaryota; Viridiplantae; Streptophyta; Magnoliopsida; Solanales; Solanaceae.
AGCAGAUUACUUAGCUAAUUAUGUAUUGGACACAAAUAACUGUAGUUAUGAACAUUUUCAGAUGUUGGAGUCAACAGGCAGGAGAAUAAUCAAUAGUGACAAAUUACAAAGCCCAUAUUUAUGAGUAUCGUCCACAAAGGAAUAAUGGGGUAAGAGAGGCUAUGGGAUAUGGUUUUUUCACAACAAGUAAAUUUACAAAUACCUCUAGGGCAGCAAAAGAGUGAAAUCCUAUCUAGCCUAGGCUAUAUCAACCUUCAAAAAGGACUUGGCAAAAUGGAAGGGGCUAAGGUCGAUUCAGAAAUUAAAAACCUGACUGGUGAUUACAUUACUAUAGAGCGAAAGUGUGAAGCUUCCCAUGCACUCCACGACAAUUUCACCUGCAAAAGUCAAAUGGUUAGUCAAGAUUUCUGGAUAAGGAAGGUAUCAAAGGUGAGUACGCACCAAGUGAUGAGAUCCACCAGUCCAAGACGAGCACCUUCAGCAAAACAAAGGAGACAUGACCAUCUACCCGAGAACACAGCUACAGAUUACACAAGUAAGGAAGAGAAUCAAAAUUACAUAAGGGAGAAAGGAGAUGAAAAGAUGGAUGGAAAUAAAAGUUGGUACUUACUCUCGAAAGCUGAAGAGACAGAUGUUGAAUGAGGCAAUGAAAUUGUGUUGAUAAUCCAUAGCAGCAGGCGAAAAAGAUUAAAGUUCACUACUAUAGGCAACAUUGGUCAGGUGGCGGGGAUUUUAGGAAACAAG